RNAcentral lists this transfer RNA (63 nucleotides) under Mytella strigata. RNAcentral's name for it is "Musculus strigatus tRNA-His". It matches the Rfam family "tRNA". From Rfam's summary of the family: Transfer RNA (tRNA) molecules are approximately 80 nucleotides in length. Their secondary structure includes four short double-helical elements and three loops (D, anti-codon, and T loops). Further hydrogen bonds mediate the characteristic L-shaped molecular structure. tRNAs have two regions of fundamental functional importance: the anti-codon, which is responsible for specific mRNA codon recognition, and the 3' end, to which the tRNAs corresponding amino acid is attached (by aminoacyl-tRNA synthetases). tRNAs cope with the degeneracy of the genetic code in two manners: having more than one tRNA (with a specific anti-codon) for a particular amino acid; and 'wobble' base-pairing, i.e. permitting non-standard base-pairing at the 3rd anti-codon position. Lineage: Eukaryota; Metazoa; Mollusca; Bivalvia; Mytilida; Mytilidae. The record is from RNAcentral.
AAAAAGAUAGUUUAAUUUAGAAUGAUAGUUUGUGGAGCUAUAGGUAUCAAAUGUUUCUUUUUA